Molecule: ribosomal RNA, 253 nt
Filed under: uncultured bacterium
Lineage: Bacteria
Description: partial 16S ribosomal RNA
Rfam family: Bacterial small subunit ribosomal RNA
Source: RNAcentral
UACGUAGGGGGCUAGCGUUGUCCGGAAUCAUUGGGCGUAAAGCGCGUGUAGGCGGUCCGGUAAGUCCGCUGUGAAAGUCGAGGGCUCAACCCUCGAAUGCCGGUGGAUACUGUCGGGCUUGAGUACGGGAGAGGCGAGUGGAAUUCCUGGUGUAGCGGUGAAAUGCGCAGAUAUCAGGAGGAACACCGAUUGCGAAGGCAGCUCGCUGGAACGUUACUGACGCUGAGGCGCGAAAGCGUGGGUAGCAAACAGG